UUUUGCUGUGAAUUACUAUCUGAUUCUUUUUAUAGAACUGUAUUCGGAUAUGUGGAUUGUAGAUUUGCUUAGCUGUGAUUGAGAUGCUUUCUUCUGGAUUUCAAGAAAACGCGGAGUUUGUUCUUCUUAUGACGAUGAUCUUUGAAGCUAAUAUAAUUUUGAACCGCUCGUGAUCCUUUCUUUCAAAUCAAUAACUUUAAAAAUUGUUAUUAGGUUGCUCAGGGAAAAGAACGAACAUAUGAACGGAGUGUUAUUCAUUGUUUGCUGGAUUGGAAUUAUGAUUUUCUCUGCUUAAGUAUGGCGAGUUUUCUUGGAUGGUCUGUUAGCUGGAUUGAAGAUCCUUUUUGUUCUGGAAGUUUGGUUGAGCUUUUCUAAUUUGAUGAUCUGUUCUGUUACGGUUCUGUGUUUCUGUUACGGUUGUGUGUUGUUGAACAUGGCCUUUUUUUUCACGGAACUGUUUUCUUGAUUGUUCAGGCGAGAUCUUGAUUGUGAACGCUAGCUUUUUGUCGGUGAUUGGAGGAUGAAUUCUGCUUCUUCCUAAAUCCGAAAAAACUGAGAACUCUCUUUACACCCUGCUUUUCCUGAAACUACUAUUCUUGAAAUAUUGUUCUUAUGUAUAGAGAUUUAGCUACGGUUUUGCUUGUUGAAUAUGGCUUUUCUUUCACGGGACUGUUUUCCUGAUUAUUCAGGCGAGAUGUAGAAUCUGAACGCAUGCUUUCUGUUGGGGAUUGGAGGAUGGAUUCUGCUUUUGCCUGGAUCAGAAGAAACCGAGAACCCUUUUACCCUUGCUUUUUUAUUCCUGAACCUUCUUUUCUUCGACUGUUCUUAUCAUCAUUAUGUGGAGGGAUUCAGCUUCGGUUUUGCUUGCUUUGCAGUGCAUUUAGGAGGUUGGAGAGUUGUAGAUAGGAGAUAUUGGAAGAAUUUACUGCUAUAAUCGACACGGACGACAAGAUAUCUAAUUCCUUAAAACAGAACAGAUUCUUUACUUUUAUCCGUUUUUUAAGAUUCAAUUAUAAAUUAUAAAUCAUGCAUGUGAAGUAAAAUGUGAAUUAUAUUCUAUGCAGCGUUGGUACACCUUGAAGCGUGGUUGAGUGCGACACAUGCGGAGGAUAGAGAACAAGAACAGUUUUUCUAAAUUUUCUUUCCCUGCAUUUUCUUUUCCAACCUACUGUGUUAGCAUUGUGAAUUAAAUGUGGAUGUGUUUCCUAUGCAGUGUUAUCUGAUAUUGUUACCCGCUGGUGUUGAGUGCAUCCUGGUCGAUAUGUUUCUUGCACUUGCCUGGUUCAUUUGUUUAAGUUUUGCUGCUUUUUUUUUAAUAUUAUUUAAAUAAUUGGCUGCUUUGGUUCUUUGUUGUUUUCUUCAUAAUUCUGUCUUUCUUGGAAAUCGGUUUAUGUUUCUCUUUUUCUCUUUAGGAGCCAAUUGAAGGAUAUGGGAUUGCACUUAGGCGAUGUGUCCAAGAUUCCGAAAUUGAUAAUUCCCUCCUAACAUAUGCAUCAAUUUUUUUAGUAAUAAAUAGUAGUUUGAUUACGGAGUUAUCUUGUUUGUGUCCUGUAAUGCUUUAAAUUGGUUGCAGAAGUCUGGAAUAAUGGAUAGAAGAUAUAUGGCGGGAAGGCUCAAAAUAAUACAAGCAUCAUAAUCUGAUCAACUUCUUUUUUAACUAUCUUGUGUUAAUGGUCGUGCAAAAUUCAAUUUGAACUUGGUUCUCUUGCAGUGUUUUCGUUUUGGUCGAGUAACAUUGUCUAGCUGGUGACGUCUGUACCUGGAGUUUGGACGCACUGGAUUUCUUGUCUCUCGUCUCUUGUUUUUUUUUUUUUUAAUUUUUUUUCGCUAGUUCAUAUGCAUAAGUAUGCAGAUAUCAAUUGAAUUUCAUCUGUUCAUUUGCAGUGUUGUCUUCCAAUCAUACUUUUGGCAACGGCAUUCAUGUAUAAUGGUGACUUCUAACUGGCUUUAGUGUUCUCUGUGUUUAACGGCUUGUUCCUGUGCAUUACAUUUCUUCGAUGUUCUUCCAUAUUGCUUGGGCAGGAGUGUUUUUUGAUCUGUUUUUCCUGUGAAUUUAUAUCUAGUCGUUUAUAGAACUGUUCUUGGAUUUGUGGAUUUUGGAUUGCUUAGCUGCUGAUCAAAAUGCUUCUUUCUGGAUUCGAUAAUUUUAGGAAUAGUUACAGUUUCACAGGGAAAAGAACUGGCUAUGAACAUAUGGACAGGGUGCCAUUCUUGUUUGUCGGAUUGGAACUAUGAUUUUCUCUCGUCAGGUGUAGCGAAUUAUGUGGAUGAUGUGUUAGCUUCAUUUAAGAUCUUUCCUGGAAUUUUGGUUGAGCUUUUCUAAUUUGAUGAUCUGGUUCAGUGAUAGUGUUGUUUGAACAUGGAUUUUCUUUCACGCAGCUGUUCUGUUGAUUGUUAAUUCGACAUUAUCUGGAUUAUGAAUGCUCGCUUUUUUGUUGGUGUUUGGAGGAUGAAUUCUACUUUUGCCCAGAUCUGAAGAAACUAAGAACUCUCUGAAUCCUUGCUUUUCCUGAAAAUUUUCCUAUUCUGUACUAUUUAUUCCUGGAGAUUUAGGUUUGCUUGUUUUUGCUUGGUUUGCAGUGUAUUUGGGAGAUUGGGGAUUGUAGAUCAGAAGAAUAUUAUGCAAGACAGGAGGACCAUAUAUCUAAUUCUAUAAAAGCAAUCUGAUUCUCUAUACAUUUUAUUUCCUUGAUCAUUUAACUACGUAUUUAUGAAGCAUGCAUUGUGAAUUAAAAUGUAGUUUAUAUUCUUUGCAGCAUUGUAGCCGGGUUGUUGAGCACAAUGCAUACAGUGGAUGGAAUCUAGUUUCCUAAAACAGUUUCUCCAAACUCUUCUUUCCUUUUUGUUCAUUCCCGCCUACUGUGGUAGCAGCAUUUGAAAUAAAUGUCUUUAUGGUUUCCCGUGCAGUUCUUUGUCCGAUCAUGGGUGUUGAGUGCAUCCUGGUGAUAAGCUUUUGCACUUGCCUGGUUCAUUUGUUUAAUUUGUGUUUUUUUUUUGUUUUUAAUUUAAAAUUUGCUACUUUGUGUUGUUUCCUUCGUUAUUCUCUCCUGCUUGGAAAUCGGUUUUUGUUUCUCUAUUCAUUAGGAACCAAUUGAAGGGUAUGGGAUUGCACCGAGACUGUAUUCAAGAUUCCGAGAUUGAUAUGUCCUUGUUCUAUUAUUCUUUUUUCUUUCUGCCCCCUAAAUAUUAUAAAAAUAACUUUAUAUAGUCAUUUCACGUUGUUUAUGACCUCCAAUGCUUUUCAUUGGUUGCAGCGAUUUAAAAUUUUGGAUUAGAAGAUAUAAUUUGAAAAAGAAGCUCUGCAACAAUAAUACAGGCUCAGGAUCAUGGAUUAAACUUGUCUUGUUUAUUGAAUUUUUCUGCCAUAUUUAUUUUCUAGCAUUAAUGGUUUAUUCCAAGUUCAAUUUGAACCUGUUUUCUUGCAGUGUUAUGUUCGUUGAGUUGGUCGAGUAACAUUGUCCGUGUAAUCGUUAGUUGUGGAGUUGGUGACUUCUACCUGGAGUUUGAAUGCCCUAGAUCUUUUCUUUUCUCUCUCCUGUUACAAUUCCUGUUCCUUUGCAGUGUUGUCUUCCGGUCGAUACUUUUGUCUACGAUAUUCAUAUGGUGACUUCUAACUCGGUAUAGCAGUUUGUGUUUUGUUCUUCAUGAUUUUGACUGUUAGCUUUGAGAAUGAUGAUAGGCCGUUCCCUCAUCCUAGUUGUGGACACUCAAGAUAGGAGAGUAAGCGUUUAAUGAGCUGUUUAAUGAGCUCUUAUUGGUCGUCAUAUACCAUAUAGACUGUAUCAUAUAUAGUCAAUUUAUUCAAUCACACGAAUCGUAUGGUUGUUUAUGCUUCCAGUUAUCUCCGAGCAGGAUCACAUGGUGCAUCAGUUGUGGGGGGUUAUUAGUUCUCAGUCUCACUAAUAAGGAUAAGAGGAUUUGAUUUUAGUUCAAACAUUUUUGGUUGGUGUUUUCUCUCUAGAUGAGGUAUUGGAAUUGAAUCGUGAACAUGCUUUUUGUGCAGUUAAACCACGGAGUGUAUUGGAGAUUAACUUCGGGGAUUCAGGAGCAAGAUUUUGUCUGCACAAUUUUCUCACCUUAUGUUUUGGUUUGAUCUGGUCUUCAUCAGUUUGGCAAGUUGUUUCUUUUGUUUAUUUUCAGCUUUCUGCAUACGUGUUUGCCAUAAUUUGGCACGUUACCCUAAUUGGAGAAUUUUGCUUGAACGCUGUGAGGGGUCUGAAUUAUGUUAGAACUUUUGGAUUGUUGUGCUGGCCUUACAUCUGUUCUUGCAUGUGAAAUAUUGAAGGAUUUUGUUUAGGUUUUAACUUGAUUUUACUUUACUUCUAAGGGAAAACUGUAACCAUGAUGGCUUGAUUUCACUUUCUGUUGGGGAAAUUGCAACUAUGAUUUUGUUUUGUGCGCACAUAACUAUAAACUUCUUUUUGGUUCAUCUCUGUCACUCUUCAUGUUGAGUAGUGUUUGGCAGCAUCUGGAAUUUGCAAGUCGACUUUGAAAUAUUGAAGGACUUCUUCUUGGAUGGUUUAACUAGGAUUUUGUACUUAAAUGAGCGACUUCUGAAUGGUUUUCAAAUUUUCUUCGAAUAGUUUUUAAAGCUUCAUGUGUGGGAUUUCAACUUAAUAUUGUCUUUUGUUCUACGUUUGGCUCUUCUAUAUUCCACAGGAUCAGUGAUUUGUAUUUGGACUUGGGUAUUGAAGGACCUAAGCAUAACUGGUGGGUGGUGGCUGGUGGCUGGUUUUUCCUGGAUCUUCACCUUAAUCUCUUUCCUUUUUCCUACCGUUCAGUGUCUUAUGUUUGUGAGGAGCUGGGAUUGCAAUUGGACUUUCCACGGGUUUUGCAAACCUUCAACCUAAACAUCACUUUGGAGUAAUGAAAGAUUUAAGUAUAAUUGGGACAGGUUUUUAACAUCUGCUGCUGCUUUGUUUGGAUUUUCAAAAUUUUUCUCUUUCGUCUGGCAGGAUAAGGGAUUUGUAAUUCGGCUUUUGGGUGUUGAGGACGCAAGUAUAACUGAUGACUUUUAACUGGUUAUUAAAUUUUUUUGUUUGUGGAUUUUCACCAUGAUCUCUUACAUUCUUCUACGGUUCAGCGUCUUAUGUUUGGCAGGAUCUGGGGUUCAAUCUUGAGUAUGUUGGAUUUAAAGUAACUGGGACUGGUUUUUAAAGCUUCAUUGUUUGGGUCUUCAACUUAAUUUUUCUCUUCCAUUUUUCUCUGUUUGACUUUCACAUUCAGCAGGUUUAGGGAUUCAUAAUUGAAUUGGAAUUUCCCUCUUCCGUUCUUAUACGUUUGGCCAAUAUAUUCAGCAGGUUUAGGUGUUGAAGGAUCCAAGUGUAACUGGUUACUUCUAAUUGGUUAUUAAAAACAUUUUCUUUUGAGUUUUCACCUCUCUCUUCCGUUCUUCUGUGGGCUCAGUGUGUCUUAUGUUUGGCAGGGAUUUGCAAUUGCAAUUUAAAUGGUUCAACUUGACAUCACUUUCGAGUAUUGAAGGAGUUGAAUAUAACUGCCGGGUUUUUAAAGCUUCUGUUUGGAUCUUUUUUAAGGCUUUUUCUUUCUUUGGAUUUUUCAACUUUAAGACUUUUCUCUUUUGCUCUUCUACAUUUGGAUCAUAUAUUAAGCAGGAUCUGGGUUCGGUAAUUGGACUUUGUUCUUGAAGGACCCAAGUAUAACUGGUGACUUCUAACUGGUUAUUACAUUUUCUCUGUAUUUUCACCUUAAUCUUGUCCCUUCUUCUAGUUAUAUUUGGCAGGAUCUGGGAUUUGCUUUUGGAUUUUAAAGUUCAACUUGACAUCUCUUUCUACUUUUUAUGGGUUUUAAAUAUCAGCUUACCAUUUCACUUUAACUUGGCAUCUCUCUCACUUUCUAUGGGUUUUAAAUAUUCCGUUUACCAUCACUUCGGAGUAGUGAAAGAUUUACAGUACAACUGGUGACUUCUAUCCAACAAACACCACACACAACAAACAAAAGAACACACUAGAACCACUCACGUCUAUUCUACUCUUCUACAUCUGUGAAGCGCCGCUUUUCUGCUUAUUGAUUGCAUGUCUGUUUUGUCUGGGUUACUUUUGCAUUUAUUUUGAAUGCAGGAUCUUAAGGUGGUCAGAUACACCCGGUUAGACAUGGUUAUUUGUUAGGUGUUAUGAUUAUAUGCUUCUUUGUUUGAAGAUCUCUACUAUUCAAUUCUUUAUGUGAUUUGUCAAGUUAGUAGAAUUCUUUGUGAAAAUACCUCUCAAAUUUCAUAAUGUAGGUUAGCACAGCAAGUAUGAAGUUUGAAAUGUAAAUGAUGCCUUAUUCAUCUAUAUUACUUUUCCUCCUCAGGGGACUUGAUUGCCUCUUAACUUUGCAUGGAAUUUUGUUGUAGCCUCAGGUGAAUCUCGGUGAGGGAAUGUUCUUGUUGCUAGGGAUUUGGAUAUUACUGUGGUAGCAAAGGGUUCAGGAAUUUUAUUUAUUUAAUUCAUGGUGAAUUACGAAGUUUGUUUUUUUAUUGAGGUUUACCAUCAUUUUGCGAACUUGCUUUUCCGCAGUUCGCGAACCCCAUUUUUGGCUGAUUUCAAUCUUGGGGGAACGGAAGAUCACAGGUGUUCAGGAGUUGGUAGCUGUUUCUGAAAUCUGAGCUCUUCUGAUGCAUUCUGUAAUUUUUCUCGUUCGGGAGAACUGUGGUCUAACUUCUGUGCAGUUCGAGCGAGUACUCUGGCAUGCGGAGAAAAGGGGUGUUCAGGGAAUGGCUGGGGUGAUUGGUGGUUCUACAGCAGUUAUGGUGUUUUCUUUGUUCUGGAAGCAGGAUAAUUGGUUUUAAUUCUUGUCUGUUGUCGCGCAUCUAUAUUAUUUGAUAUCUGCAGUCUGGUGAAGAUAUUUUCCCUGUGCAAAUGUAGUGGUUUCUGUAGUAUGCCAUGGUUCAAGAACAUCCCUCAUCUUCUCUAGCAAAAGAAGUAAAAGCAGAACGAUGUUUUGAGGUCUGCAUUUUCUGCUCUUUCACUUUCGUCUUUGAAAGCUGUUUCAUUUUCGUGGGUUUGUUUAUAAAAUUUGUUUCUGUGGCCCUUGUAAGUAGCUCUUCUGUUUGUUUAUUCUCAACUUCUGACACACUACAGAAUGGUUGGUGCUAUUGGGUGGUUGUUACAACUUACAAGUUAAGUUCUAUGUCUUUGAAGCAGCAUUCUUGUGCAGUUUUCUCUCGCAGCUUUGCAGUAAACUUUAUGUGCAUCUGCUAUUCCAGUGAUUUUUUGUGAUUUGGAUUUUUAUUUGGAUCUGGAUGGGUGGUAGUGUCGCCAUGCAGUUUGUUAUGUGAUCUUUAGGCCAAUUUUAUACGUUCCUGAUGGUUUCUUUUGUGGGGUAUGCGCUGAUGUGCAUUGUUUAAUUUUGAAUGGGUAUUAGGAAGGUAUUUCGGAGGCUAUGAUCAGUGCUAAAAUAAAGGCCAUGUACGUGUUGUGUUGGUUCCAACAAUAUAUGACUGGUAGAAUGGUGGUGUUGAUGUUUAUGCUUUGUUCAACUAUUGUUCAGUAACUUUGGUUUUAGUUCGUUGCUUUUUGGGAUGCUUGGUGAGCUUUUGAUUUUUGAAGGUCGGUUUUUCGUAACCAACAUUAUCGAAGACUAUUGAUGGUUCAGUUCUGUUGCUUAGCUGCUUUGGUGUAUUAACAUAACUCCGUUAUUUUGUCGUCCUUGUGUAUAUGCAUGCUGAUCUAUUCAAAUGGUAUAUAUUCUUGCACGCCGAACUUGAAAGAGUUGCUAUUUCGAUUAUGUUCUUACCUAAUAAAAUGCGUCCGGGUUAUUGCUUUACAUUGCUUCUUAUUCCAAUGUUUUUAAGUAGAGUGGGAUAUAUGUUGUGUUCGUGUGUAUAGGAUAUGUUUCAGGUAUUUAAUCGGAGCGGCAUCAUGGAGAGGAAGAUUUGCCUAAUAGCCAAGAAAAAUGGUUUAGUCUUUAUGAUUGUAUUCUCUUUACUGUUUUCUCUUUUCUGAUUUCACUGUGUAUUGCAAAGAUUGUACUGUGGAUUCUUAUAGUGGAAUGCCUUUAUUAUUGUUCCCGUGGAUGUAGGUCAUUUGGCCGAACCACGUAAAUUCCUUGGUCUCCUUUCCCUACUAUUUCCCUACUACUGGACUAAUUAUUUUAUGCGUUUCGGUGGCUCUGAGCUUUAGUCAAAUAGGAAUCAAAAUCGAACAAUGAUCGUAAAUUCGUAGUUGAUUCCAGAAAUGCACAAUGCAUUACCGAAUUAAUACUGGUCUAAACUAAGAGAGAAUCUUUAUGGCAUUAAAAGUGUGGCUAAAAUACCACAUAAGAAGUAAGCCAGUCAAACUAAUUAAUUUCUAUGAGCUCAUGUUCUUCGCUUCUAUGAAUAUUUGCUUUAAUCUUUUUCCCUUCGUGUGGUUUUCUAUGGUUUCUGAUUUCAAGAUAUCAUUCAGGAUCGAGAAGAUUCGAUAUCUUUUUGCUGUGAAUUACUAUCUGAUUCCUUUUAUAGAACUGUAUUCGGAUAUGUGGAUUGUGGAUUUGCUUAGCUGCUGAUUGAGAUGCUUUCUUCUGGAUUUCAAUAAAACGAGGAGUUUGUUCUUCAUGAUGAUCUUUGAGAACCACUUGUGAUCCUUUCUUUCAAAUCAAUAACCUUGAAAAUUGUUAUUAGGUUGCUCAGGGAAAAGAACGAACAUAUGAAUGGAGUGUUAUUCAUUAUUUGCUGGAUUGGAAUUAUGAUUUUCUCUGCUUAAGUAUGGCGAGUUUUCUUGGAUGGUCUGUUAGCUGGAUUGAAGAUCCUGGAAGUUUGGUUGAGCUUUUGUAAUUUGAUGAUCUGUUCUGUUACAGUUCUGUGUUGAUUGAGCUUUUCUAAUUUGAUGAUCUGGAACUGUUUUCUUGAUUGUUCAGGCGAGAUCUUGAUUGUGAACGCUAGCUUUUUGUGGGUUAUUGGAGGAUGAAUUCUGCUUCUUCCUAAAUCCGAAAAAACUGAGAACUCUCUUUACACCCUGCUUUUUCUGAAACUUCUAUUCUUGAACUAUUAUUCUUUAUGUAUAGAGAUUUAGCUACGGUUUUGGUUGUUGAACAUGGCUUUUCUUUCACCGGACUGUUUUCCUGAUUAUUCAGGCGAGAUGUAGAAUGUGAACGUUUGCUUGUUGGGUGAUUGGAGGAUGGAUUCUGCUUUUGCCCGGAUCAGAAGAAACCGAGAACUUUUUACCCUUGCUUUUUUUUUCCCCUGAAACUUCUUUUCUUCGACUGUUCUUAUCAUCAUUAUGUAGAGGGAUUCAGCUUCGGUUUUGCUUGCUUUGCAGUGCAUUUGGGAGGUUGAGAUUUGUAGACCGGAGGUAUUGGAAGAAUUUACUGCUAUAAUCGACAGGGACGACUAGAUAUCUAAUUCCUUAAAACAGAACAGAUUCUUUACUUUUAUCCGUUUUUUAAGAUUCAAUUAUAAAUUAUAAAUCAUGCAUGUGAAUUAAAAUGUGUAUUAUAUUCUAUGCAGCAUUGUCCACCUUGAAGCGUGGUUUUGAGUGCGACACAUACGGAGGAUAGAGAACAAGAACAGUUUUUUUAACUUUCUUUCCCUGCAUUUUCUUUCCCAACCUACUGUGCCAGCAUUGUGAAUUAAAUGUGGAUGUGUUCCUAUGCAGUGUUGUCUGAUAUUGUUACCCGCGGGUGUUUAGUGCUUCCUGGUCGAUAUGUUUCUUGCACUUGCCUGGUUCAUUUGUUUAAGUUUUGUUUUUUUUUUUUUUUUUUUUUUUAUUUAAAUAAUUGAUUGCUUUGGUUCCUUGUUCUUUUCAUAAUUCUGUCUUUCCUGGAAAUCGGUUUAUGUUUCUCUUUUUUGCCUUAGGAGCCAAUUGAAGGACAUGGGAUUGCACUUUGGCGAUGUGUCCAAGAUUCCGAAAUUGAUAAUUCCCUCGUAACAUAUGCAUGAACUCUUUUAGUAUUAAAUAAUAGUUUGAUUACGUUGUUCUCUUGUUUAUGUCAUGCAAUGCUUUAAAUUGGUUGCAGAAAUCUGGAAUAAUGGAUAGAAGAUAUAUGGCAGGAGGGCUCAAAAUAAUACAAGCAUCAUAAUCUGAUUAACUUCUCUUUUUCAACUAUCUUGUGUUAAUGGUCGUGCAUCAAUUUGAACUUGGUUCUCUUGCAGUGUUAUCGUUUUGGUCGGGUAACAUUGUGUAGCUGGUGACUUCUGUACCUGGAGUUUGGACGCACUGGAUUUCUUGUCUCUCGUCUCUUGUUUUUUUUUUUUAAUUUUUUUUCGCUAGUUCAUAUGCAUAAGUAUGCAGAUAUCAAUUGAAUUUCAUCUGUUCAUUUGCAGUGUUGUCUUCCAAUCAUACUUUUGGCAACGGCAUUCAUGUAUAAUGGUGACUUCUAACUGGCUUUAGUGUUCUCUGUGUCUAACGUCUUGUUUCUGUGCAUUUCAUUUCUUCGAUGUUCUUCCAUAUUGCUUGGGCAGGAGUGUUCUUUGAUCUGUUUUUCCUGUGAAUUUCUAUCUAGUCGUUUAUAGAACUGUUCUCGGAUUUGUGGAUUUCGGAUUUGGUUAGCUGCUGAUCAAGAUCUUUCUGAAUUUGAUAAUUGUGGGAAUAUUUACAGUUUCACAGGGAAAAGAACUAGGCUAUGAACAUAUGGACAGGGUGCUAUUCUUGUUUGUUGGCUUGGAACUAUGAUUUUCUCUCUUCAGGUGUAGCGAAUUAUGUGGAUGAUGUGUUGGCUUCAUUUAAGAUCUUUUCUGGAAGUUUGGUUGAGCUUUUCUAAUUUGAUGAUCUGGUUCAGUGAUAGUUGUGUUGUUUGAACAUGGCUUUUCUUUCACGCAGCUGUUCUGUUGAUUGUUAGUGCGACAUUAUCUGGAUUAUGAAUGCCCGCUUUUUUGUUGGUGUUUGGAGGAUGAAUUCUACUUUUGCCCAGAUCUGAAGAAACUAAGAACUCUCUGAAUCCUUGCUUUUCCUGAAAAUUCUCCUAUUCUGUACUAUUGUUAUUCCUGGAGAAAUUUAGGUUUGCUUGUUUUUGCUUGGCUUGCAGUGUAUUUGGGAGAUUGGGGAAUUAUAGAUCAGAAGAAUAUUCUGCAAGACGGGAGGAUCAUAUAUCUAAUUCCAUAAAAGCAAUCUGAUUCUCUUUACAUUUUAUUUCCUUGAUCAUUUAACUAAAUAUUAUAAAGCAUGCAUUAUGAAUUAAAACGUAGUUUAUAUUCUAUGCAGCAUUGUAGCCGGGUUGUUGAGCACGAUGCAUACAGUGGAUGGAAUCUAGUUUCCUAAAACAGUUUUAAAUAUUAUAAAGCAUGCAUUAUGAAUUAAAACGUAGUUUAUAUUCUAUGCAGCAUUGUAGCCGGGUUGUUGAGCACGAUGCAUACAGUGGAUGGAAUCUAGUUUCCUAAAACAGUUUUUCCAAACUCCUUUCCUUUUUGUUCAUUCCAACCUACUGUGCUAGCAGCAUUUGAAAGUCUUCGGUUUCCUGUGCAGUAUUGUCCGCUCAUGGGUGUUGAGUGCAUCCUGGUGAUAUGCUUUUGCACUUGUCUGGUUCAUUUGUUUAAUUUUGUUUUUUUUUUUUUAAUUUCAAAUUUGCUACUUUGUGUUGUUUUCUUUGUUAUUCUCUCCUGCUUGGAAAUCGGUUUUUGUUUCUCUUUUCCUUAGGAACCAAUUGAACGGUAUGGGAUUGCACCAAGACUGUGUUCAAUAUUCUGAGAUUGAUAUGUCCUUGUAUUAUUCUUUUUUCUUUCUGCCCCCUAAAUAUUAUAUAAAUAACUUGAUUAUAUAGUCAUUUCACGUUGUUUAUGACCUCCAAUGCUUUUCAUUGGUUGCAGCAAUUUAAAGUUUUGGAUUAGAAGAUAUGAUUUGGAAAAGAAGCUUUGCAACAAUAAUAGAGGCUCAUGAUCUUGGAUUAAACCUGUCUUCUCUAUUGAAUUUUUCUGCCAUAUUUAUUUUCUAGCAUUAAUGGUUCAUUCCAAGUUCAAUUUGAACCUGUUUUCUUGCAGUGUUAUGUUCGUUGAGUUGGUUGAGUAACAUUGUCCGUCUAAUCCGAGUUAGAUGUGGAGUUGGUGACUUCUACUUGGAGUUUGGAUGCCCUAGAUCUUUUCUCUUGUCUCUUCUAAUUUCUUCCCAUGUAUUUAGUAUGAACAUGACAAUUCCUGUUCCUUUGCAGUGUUUGUCUUCCAGUCAAUACUUUUGACUACCAUAUUCUUAUGGUGACUUCUAGCUCGGUAUAGUAGUUUGUGUUUUGUUUUUCAUGAUUUUGACCGUUUGCUUUGAGAAACCUGUUGUUCCCUCAUCCUACUUGUGGACACACUUUCAAGAUUGGAGAGUAAGCGUUUAAUGAGCUCUUAUUGGUCAUGGUUUAUCAUAUAUGCUGACUGUAUAUUAUAUAUACUCGAUUUUGCUUUUUAUCUCAGCAAUAUAUUUGGCCGAGCACAUAAAAGAUUGGAUUCGAUAACGUGAAUUGUAUAGUUGUUUGUGCUUCCAGCCAUCUCUGAGCUGAAUCACACUGUGCAUUGGUUGUGGGCGUUAUUAGUUCUCAGUCUCACUAAUAACAAUAAGAGGAUUUGAUUUUAGUUCAACAUUUUUGGUGGUGUUUUCUCUUUGGACGAGGUAUUGGAAUUGAAUCGUGAACAUGCUUUGUGCAGUUAAAUGACCGAGUGUAUUGGAGAUUAAUUUGGGGGGUUCAGGAGCAAGAUUUUGUCUACUAUAGUUUUCCCACCUCAACUUUGCCAUUUGUUCUCACGACGUGUUUUGGUUUGUGGUUUGAUCUGGUCUUCCAUCAGUUUGACAAGCUAUUUCUUUUGUUUAUCUUCAGCUUUACGUGUGGUUUGAUCUGGUCUUCCAUCAGUUUGACAAGCUAUUUCUUUUGUUUAUCUUCAGCUUUACGUGUUUGCCGUAAUUUGGCACACUACCCAUAAUUGGAGAAUUUUGCUUGAACGCUGCGAGGGGUCUGAAUUAUGUUGAAACUGUGUUGGAUUGUUGUGCUGGCCUUAAAACUCUUCUUCAUUCUGUUAUUAGGUUUUAACUUGUCUUGAUUUUACCUUACUACUAAGGAAAACUUCUUGAUUUCACUUUCUAUUAGGGAAAUCGCAACUAUGAUUUUGCUUUGUGUGCGCAAAACUGGAAACUUCUUUUCGGUUCAUCUUUGUCACUCCAUGUUGAGUACCAUGUGUUUGGCAGCAUCUGGAAUUUGAUCAGGGAUUUGUGUUUGGACUCGAGUUUUGAAGGACCUAAGCAUAACUGGUGACUGGUUUUUUCUGGAUCUUCACCUUAAUCUCUUCCCUUUUUAUACGAUUCAGUGUCUUAUGUUUGGCAGGAGCUGUGAUUUGCAAUUGGACUUUCUAUGGGUUUUAACCUUCAACCUAAACAUCACUUUGGAGUACUGAAAGAUUUAAGUAUAAUUGGGACUGGUUUUUAAAGCUGCUGCUGCUUUGUUUGGAUUCAAGUAUAAUUGGGACAAAAGCUGCUGCUGCUUUGUUUGGAUUUUCAAAAUUUUUCUCUUUUGUCUGGCAAGAUAAGGAAUUUGUAAUUGGACUUGGGUGUUAAGGACGCAAGUAUAACUGAUGACUUAUAGCUGGUUAUUAAAUUUAUUUGUUUGUGGACUUUCACCAUGAUGAUCUCUUCCAUUCUUCUAUGAUUCAGUGUCUUAUGUUUGGCAGGAUCUGGGGUUCAAUCUGGAGUAUUUCUUCUACGGUUCAGUGUCUUAUGUUUGGCAGGAUCUGGGGUUCAAUCUGGAGUAUCGUAGGAUUUAAAGUAUAACCGGGACUGGUUUUUAAAGCUUCUACUUAAUUUUUCUCUUCCGUAUUUCUAUGCUUGGCUUUCACAUUCAGCAGGUUUAGGGAUUCAUAAUUCAAUUGGAAUUUUCUUCUUCCGUUCUUAUGCGUUUGGCUAAUAUAUUCAGCAGGUUUAGGUGUUGAAGGAUCUAAGUGUAACUGGUUACUUCUAAUUGGUUAAAAACAUUUAAAAGUUUUCACCUCUCUCUUUCGUUCUUCUAUGGGUUCAGUGUGUCUUAUGUUUAUCUGGGAUUUGCAGGAGUUGAAUAUAACUGGGCCGGGUUUUUAAAGCUUCUGUUUGGAUCUAUUUUAAAAGCUUUUUCUUUCUUUGGAUUUUGGAUGACUUUUCUCUUUCGCUCUUCUACAUUUGGCUCUCAUAUAUUCAGCAGGGUUCGGUAAUUGGACUUUGGUCUUGAAGGACCUAAGUAUAACUGGUGACUUCUAACUUGUCAUUAUAUUUUUUCUGUAUUUUCACCCUAACCUAGUAAUCUUCUCCAUUCUUCUAGUUAUAUCUGGCAGGAGCCGGGAUUUGCAUUUGGAUUUUAAAUGUUGAACUCAACAUCUCUUUCGACUUUCUAUGGAUAAAUAAUCAGCUUUCCAUCUCGCUUCAGUACCACACACACCAAAAAAAAGAACACACUACAACCACUCACGUCUAUUCUACUGUUCUACAUCUGUGGUUCCCUUUUCUGCUUAUUGUGGAGCGCCCCUCUUCGUCUGGAUUACUGUUGCAUUUAUUUUGAAUGUAGGAUCUUAAGGUGGUCGGAGUAUCCGGUUAGACAUGGUUAUUUGUUACGUGCUAAUUAUAUGCUUAUUUGUUACAUGGUUAUUUUGAAUGCACUAUUCAAUUCUUUAUGUGAUUAAAUUAAUUGAAUUCUUUGUGAAAACACCUCUCAAAUUUCAUAAUGUAGGUUAGCACAGUAAGUAACUGAAGCUUGAGAUGGAAAUGAUGCUUUUAUUUAUCUAUAUUAAUUUUCUUCCUUGGGGGACUCUAUUGCCUCUUAACUCUGCAUGGAAUUUUGUUGUAGCCUCCUCGGGUGAAUUUUGGUGAGGGAAUGUUCUUGUUGCUAAGGAUUUGGAUAUUACCGUGGUAGCAAAGGGUUCAGGAAUUUUGUUAUUUGUUUACUUCAUGAUGAAUUAUGAAGUUUUCUUUAUUGAGGUUUACUAUCAUUUUGCGAACUUGCUAUCGUGCAGUUUGCGAACCCGAUUUUUGGCUGAUUUCUAUCCUGGGGCAGCAGAAGAUCAGGCUCGCAUUUCAGGAGUUGGUAGCUGUUUCUGAAAUCUGAACUUAUCUGAUGCCUUCUGUAUUUUUCUCUUGCUUGGGAGCAUUGUGGACUAAUUUCUAUGCAGUUUGAGUUAGUACUCUGGCAUGCGGAGAAAAGAGAUGUUGAGGGAAUGGUUGGGUUGAUUGGUGAUUCUACAACAGUUAUGGUGGUUUUUUUUUUCUCUGGAAGCAGGAUAAUCGGUUUUUUUUUUCAGUGGUCUGGUGAAGAUACUUUCCAUGUGCAAAUGUAGUGGUUUUCUGGAAUCAAUGGUUGGGUUGAUUGGUGAUUCUACAACAGUUAUGGUGGUUUUUUUUUCUCUGGAAGCAGGAUAAUCGGUUUUUUUUUUCCAGUGGUCUGGUGAAGAUACUUUCCAUGUGCAAAUGUAGUGGUUGCUGUAAUAAGCUAUGAUUCAAGUGCAUCCCUCAUCUUCUCUAGCAGAAGUAAAAGCAGAACGAUGUUUUUUAUGGUCUGCAUUUUCUGUCGCCCGUGCUUUCACUUUUGACUUGGAAAGCCGUUUCAUUUUGGAUUUGUUUAUAAAAUGUGUUUUAGUGUCCCUUGUAAGUAGCCCUUCUCUUUGUUUAUUCUUAACUUCUGACACACUACAGAACGGUUGGUGCUAUUGGUGGUUGUUACAAGUCAACUUGUAUGUCUUUGAAGUAGCAUGCUUGUGCAGUUAUCUCUCGCAGCUUUGCAGUAAAUUCUAUGUGUAUCUACUUUUCCAGUGAUUUUUUGGGAUUUGAAAUUUUAUUUGGAUUCUGGAUGGGUGGUAAAGUCGACAUGCAGUUUCUUAUGUGAUCUUUAGGCCAUUUUUAUAUGUUCUGGAUGGUUUCUUUUGCGGGGUGUGUGCUGGUCGAUGUGCAUUGUUUGAAUUUGAAUGGGGGUAUUAGGAAGGUAUUUCGGAGGCUCUGAUCAUGUGCUUAAAAUAGAAGGCCGCAAUGUACGUGUUGUGUUGGUUCCAACAGUAUACGAGUGGUAGAAUGGUUGUGUUGAUGUUUAUGCAUUGUUGUUCAACUAUUGUUUAUAGAAGAUUAUUGAUGGUUCAGUUAUGUUGCUUAGCUGCUUUGGUGUGUGUAUUAACAUAACUCCAUUAUUUUGUCGUCCUUGUGUAUAUGCAUGCUGAUCUAUUCAAAUGGUACAUAUCCUUGCACGCCGAACUUGAAAUCUGCUGUUUUGACCCAAGUUGCUAUUUGGAUUAUGUUCUUACCUAAUAAAAUGCGCCCGGGGGGUUAGCUUUUACAU
This is a long non-coding RNA of Arachis stenosperma, 16167 nucleotides long. RefSeq lists it as uncharacterized. Lineage: Eukaryota; Viridiplantae; Streptophyta; Magnoliopsida; Fabales; Fabaceae. The record is from RefSeq and is a predicted model, not a curated record. The transcript has 2 exons.